RNAcentral lists this ribosomal RNA (407 nucleotides) under Acidobacteriota bacterium. RNAcentral describes it as "Acidobacteria bacterium partial 16S ribosomal RNA". It matches the Rfam family "Bacterial small subunit ribosomal RNA", at positions 355 to 776 of the family's 1533-position model. Lineage: Bacteria; Pseudomonadati; Acidobacteriota. The record is from RNAcentral.
UGGGGAAUAUUGGGCAAUGGGCGCAAGCCUGACCCAGCAACGCCGCGUGAAGGAAGAAGGCUUUCGGGUUGUAAACUUCUUUUGUCGGGGACGAAACAAAUGACGGUACCCGACGAAUAAGCCACGGCUAACUACGUGCCAGCAGCCGCGGUAAUACGUAGGUUGCAAGCGUUAUCUGGAUUUAUUGGGUGUAAAGGGCGUGUAGGCGGGAUUGCAAGUCAGAUGUGAAAACUGGGGGCUCAACCUCCAGCCUGCAUUUGAAACUGUAGUCCUUGAGUGCUGGAGAGGCAAUCGGAAUUCCGUGUGUAGCGGUGAAAUGCGUAGAUAUACGGAGGAACACCAGUGGCGAAGGCGGAUUGCUGGACAGUAACUGACGCUGAGGCGCGAAAGCGUGGGGAGCAAACAGG